AAGCGCUUGCAACCAGACUUGCACGCGGUUAAUCAUCCGGUGUUCUCACCGGUGCACUUGACCGCGUUCAGGCCAGCAUCGGUUCGGGUGGCAGGAUAAAGGCCUUGGGAAUGUAUCUACCUACGGGUAGACUUAUAGACCAGGGUGUCAUGCGGCCUCUCGGGACCGAGGAACGCGCUUCGGCUCGGAUGUUGGCGUAAUGGUUGUCAGCG
Molecule: ribosomal RNA, 212 nt
Filed under: Helotiales sp.
Lineage: Eukaryota; Fungi; Ascomycota; Leotiomycetes; Helotiales
Description: partial large subunit ribosomal RNA
Source: RNAcentral